RNAcentral lists this ribosomal RNA (279 nucleotides) under uncultured bacterium. RNAcentral's name for it is "partial 16S ribosomal RNA". It matches the Rfam family "Bacterial small subunit ribosomal RNA", at positions 506 to 784 of the family's 1533-position model. The record is from RNAcentral.
UGCCAGCCGCCGCGGUAAUACGUAGGGGCCAAGCGUUAUCCGGAUUUACUGGGCGUAAAGGGCACGCAGGCGGCCAUUUAAGUCUGGCGUGAAAUCUCUCGGCUUAACCGGGAGAGGUCGUUGGAAACUGAAUGGCUUGAGGCAGUGAGAGGGGUGUAGAAUUCCUGGUGUAGUGGUGGAAUGCGUAGAUAUCAGGAGGAAUACCAGUGGCGAAAGCGGCACCCUGGCACUGUUCUGACGCUCAUGUGCGAAAGCGUGGGGAGCGAACGGGAUUAGAUA